RNAcentral lists this ribosomal RNA (421 nucleotides) under uncultured bacterium. RNAcentral's name for it is "partial 16S ribosomal RNA". It matches the Rfam family "Bacterial small subunit ribosomal RNA", at positions 360 to 773 of the family's 1533-position model. The record is from RNAcentral.
AAUAUUGGACAAUGGGCGAGAGCCUGAUACAGCCAUGCCGCGUGGGUGAAGAAGGNCUNNGGGUUNUNAAGCCCUUUUGUUGGNNNNNAAAAACAUCAGGCUAAUACCCGGAUGGAAUGACGGUACCCAAAGAACAAGCACCGGCUAACUUCGUGCCAGCAGCCGCGGUAAUACGAAGGGUGCAAGCGUUACUCGGAAUUACUGGGCGUAAAGGGUGCGUAGGUGGUUCGUUAAGUCUGAUGUGAAAGCCCUGGGCUCAACCUGGGAAUUGCAUUGGAUACUGGCGGGCUGGAGUGCGGUAGAGGGUAGUGGAAUUCCCGGUGUAGCAGUGAAAUGCGUAGAUAUCGGGAGGAACAUCCGUGGCGAAGGCGACUGCCUGGACCAGCACUGACACUGAGGUGCGAAAGCGUGGGGAGCAAAC